Long non-coding RNA from Myiozetetes cayanensis, 1362 nucleotides. RefSeq lists it as uncharacterized. The transcript is spliced from 2 exons. Lineage: Eukaryota; Metazoa; Chordata; Aves; Passeriformes; Tyrannidae. The record is from RefSeq and is a predicted model, not a curated record.
GCUCCGCGCCGAGUCCUGCCCUGCCCGGCCCUGGUCCCGGUGCGAUCGCCCGAUCCCCGCCGCGCCGCCGGGGCCGGAGGCUCCCGCUGUCCUGCCCAGCUCUGCCCCUUUCUGCUCCCGCAGCCAUCCCUGAACCGGCCGGAGCAACGGUGCGGGGCCGGGGGCACCCGCCUCCGCUUUCACAGCCGGGCCGAGAGCGGCACCUGCCGCAGUCCCGCAGCCCCCGCCCGGGAGCAGGGACCGGCACCAGCACCGGAGUGGUUUGAGCAGCUCCCGUACGGAAGCGGCAGCCGGGGCUCGGGGCACGGCCGGUCCCCGGGAUGCCCCUGCCCCGUGCCGGAGCCGCAACCAACAGCCCCCGUGGGGAGCACGGUGGGGCCACCCCACGGCAGCAGCCGCUUCUGUCCUCAGCAAGGGCAGGAGGAGCAGCCAUCGGCCGCCGCGGUGCCGCCGCACUGGAAGCUUGUUCAGCUGCAGAAAACUACUUGUCUUGUUCCUUGGGAAGAAUGAUGCUAAUAGGGAGAGACAGGCAAGAAGUGCCAGCCCGACGCAAAUGAGGAUGCUGCAGGCUCCUGGCUGCCAGUCUAGGGCAGGAACAAGGUUUCCUCCUGUACAACAUCCAGAACUCGGUGCAGAUGUAAGGAACAAUAGAGAAGAACUGAAAAGCUGUGCUGCCUGCAGCUUCUCGCCUGGGCUGCUUUUGGGAGCAAUGGCACUGCUCCUCUCUGGGAAUGGAGUUUCUUAAGGAAGAAAGAGCCUACUGGCUCGGGUGAGCUUUGGAUUUAGAGGAUAGGCUGAGUCCUCACGGGACCGAACCUGAAUGACCCCCAGGGGUUUUGCUUUUGGGACCUUGUGUCCAGAUGCUCUGUAUGGCAACAGCUUCUGCCCAGGAGGGCUGUGUCCUGGCCCCUCUAUAUGGGUCAAGCCAGGGGGAUGGAGCCAUGUGCCCAGCACCAGCCUGGAGGAGCCAGAUGGCACUUGGCGAUCCCUGGCUGGUGUGAACGUACCCAAGGCUGGUUCUCCCACUGCCUGUACCCCCUGCAACAGUGCUGGACAGAGCCCUGGCACUGACAGACCCUAUGCGGCUUCAGCCCCCUGGUUGGAGGAUGCUGCCCUGCCUGGGCAACAGUAGGAAGGGUGGGGGUACCUGAGGGGCAGGGCACUGCAGGUUCCUCUUCCUGCAGCGGGAAGUGUCCAUCACUCAGUUCCUCUCCAUGACAAACUGCCAAAUCUGUGGAAAAGUUGCUUUUUCCAUUUUAGAUCACCACCUCCAUGUGGUGAUCCAGCCUCAGCAGCAGACACAUUGCUUAAGCAUGAAAAUUAGAGGCGUCUGGAUAAAUAAAGCUGCUGCGGAUGCCUUGA